Molecule: ribosomal RNA, 464 nt
Filed under: uncultured Desulfobacca sp.
Lineage: Bacteria; Pseudomonadati; Thermodesulfobacteriota; Desulfobaccia; Desulfobaccales; Desulfobaccaceae
Description: bacterial SSU rRNA
Rfam family: Bacterial small subunit ribosomal RNA
Source: RNAcentral
CCCGCACAAGCGGUGGAGCAUGUGGUUAAUUCGACGCAACGCGAAGAACCUUACCUAGGCUUGACAUCUGGGGAAUCCCAUGGAACAUGGGAGUGCGGAGCAAUCCGAGCCCCAAGACAGGUGCUGCAUGGCUGUCGUCAGCUCGUGUCGUGGGAUGUUGGGUUAAGUCCCGCAACGAGCGCAACCCUUGUCUCUAGUUGCCAUCAUUUAGUUGGGCUACUCUAGAGAGACUGCCGGUGAUAAACCGGAGGGAGGUGGGGACGACGUCAAGUCCUCAUGGCCUUUAUGCCUAGGGCUACACACGUGCUACAAUGGAUCGUACAAAGGGUCGCGAACCCGCGAGGGGGAGCCAAUCCCAAAAACCGGUCCUCAGUUCGGAUUGGAGUCUGCAACUCGACUCCAUGAAGUUGGAAUCGCUAGUAAUCGUGGAUCAGCAUGCCACGGUGAAUACGUUCCCGGGCCUU